GAAUUAUAUUUUUACAUAAUUCCUGAAAUUAGGUCAAAACACAUUUCGGAAGGGAUCUGCAUAGAUAAAUACAUUAGUUGCCCUCAUUUUAUAUCUAGAUUUUUUUUGUUAAAUAGAAAUCCGUAUUUCCUCUCCCUAAAUACGAACCUAUUAAUACACCAUUAAUUCGCCCCAAAAUUAAAUUGCAGUUAAUUGAAUUUUAAGCAGGAAAGAAAACAAUCAUGGUUGGGAUUGACAAAUGAGCGACAUUAUUCCAGGCCCGUGCACUCCCUGUAGCAGUCGGCCAGUUCAUGCUUUCAUGUCCUUUCUUUCUUGCUUAAUAGCCUCGUAGGAUAUCAUUACCUCUUUGAACUUUGCCUCAGCAGCCGCUUUAUUAUCUUGGUUCUGAUCUGGAUGGAACUCCUUUGCCUUGACCCUGAAAGCUUUCUUAAUCUCAGCUUCUGUAUAUGGUGUUUUUCUGGACCUAUCAAGGCCCAGAACUGAGUAAUGAUAUGACAAUGGGUAGCUUGCAUUCUCUCUUGGAGUCCUAAAGUUAGUCCUCUGUUCCCUGAAGGAUGCUUCAGCCUUCCAAUACCAAUCAUCUCGCUGAAAAUGCUGAUGAUAUGCACCUGGACCAUUUUCCCUCCAGCUUUCAUAACUUCUCUUGUACUUGUUCCUCUCUCUAUUAAACACACUUUGCAUGCGCCUUAUUCGUUCUACUCUCUCCCUUUCCUCUUCAUAUUCCUCUUGCAUUCGUCGAUUGUUCCUUUUCCAUGCUUCCUCCUGAAAAGUUGACCGGAAAGAACUGCCAGUUCCUCCUUUCCAUGAUGAUUGUGACCGUUUUAACUGAGUAUUGAACCAUUCAAGAGUCCUCCGCAGCUGACCAACAGCGAAAGUGGUAGCAGUGGCGCCAAUUAGACCGAAUAGAAAUACUCCCCAAAGUUUCAUAUACUCUGCUUUCUCUUGAUAAGGUCUGUUUGGCGAUUGCCAUGGAUUGUCCUUAUCUCGACUAAUAUCUUCUCCUCCCAUAUUAUUAAUGCUACUUCAAUAUCAAUUCUCAAAGAUUCCUCUCGAGUAAAUUACAAAUCGAAAUUCGAAACCCUAAGACCAUAGUUAGGGUUUCUCUUGAAUAUGUAAUUUUUCUUGCACCGCCUUUUGAAUGAGAGUGUUUGGUAUCCGAGAAAGAGAGAUUCAGAAACAUGUAAUUCUAAUUCCUAUUUAGGCUUCAU
This 1208-nucleotide unclassified non-coding RNA is filed under the name Hevea brasiliensis (rubber tree). Lineage: Eukaryota; Viridiplantae; Streptophyta; Magnoliopsida; Malpighiales; Euphorbiaceae. The record is from RNAcentral.